Molecule: non-coding RNA, 228 nt
Organism: Pelobates cultripes (western spadefoot toad)
Lineage: Eukaryota; Metazoa; Chordata; Amphibia; Anura; Pelobatidae
Source: the annotation of a GenBank genome assembly
GGGGGCACACGACUGGCUAGGUGGUCUCUCGUUUGGCAGUUUGUUCGUUCAUACGAAUGGGUUAGCGAUGUCAUUCGUUUUCCCAUUCGUAUGUAGAAAACUGGUAACAAAAUAAGCAUAACAAAUCCAGGGGGUUUACAAAGUUACAGUCUGUGGUCCAGGCAAUAACAGUUCUGUUACAAUUUUACCCUACCUUACUCCCACAACUCAGACAGGCGUGCACUUGAC